GACGAACGCUGGCGGCGUGCUUAACACAUGCAAGUCGAGCGGAAAGGCCCGUCGGUGUCCUCGCGCGUCGAACGGGUGAGUAACACGUGAGUAACCUGCCCCAGUCUUUGGGAUAACCCGCGGAAACGGGGGCUAAUACCGUAUACGCCACAGAUUCGCUUGGGGGCUGUGUUGAAAGUUUUCUGGUUUGGUUUGGGGUCGCGGCAUAUCAGCUCGUUGGUGGUGUGCUGGAUUACAAAGGCGACGACGGGUAGCCGGCCUGUGAGUGCGACCGGCCACACUGGGACUGAGGCACGGGCCAGACGCCUACGGGAGGAAGGAGUGGGGAAUAGUGGACAAUGCGCGGAAGCCUGAUGCAGCGACGCCGCGUGGGGGAUCACGGCCUUCGGGUUGUAACACACUUUCAGCAGGGAGGAAGCGUAAGUGACGGUACCUGCAGAAGAAGCGCUGCCAACUACGUG
This 461-nucleotide ribosomal RNA is filed under the name uncultured bacterium. RNAcentral describes it as "partial 16S ribosomal RNA". It matches the Rfam family "Bacterial small subunit ribosomal RNA", at positions 28 to 507 of the family's 1533-position model. The record is from RNAcentral.